Molecule: ribosomal RNA, 439 nt
Filed under: uncultured bacterium
Lineage: Bacteria
Description: partial 16S ribosomal RNA
Rfam family: Bacterial small subunit ribosomal RNA
Source: RNAcentral
CUACGGGAGGCUGCAGUGGGGAAUUUUGCGCAAUGGGCGAAAGCCUGACGCAGCAAUACCGCGUGAGUGAAGAAGGCCUUUGGGUCGUAAAGCUCUUUUAUUGGGGAAGAUAGUGACGGUACCCAAUGAAUAAGCACCGGCUAACUCCGUGCCAGCAGCCGCGGUAAUACGGAGGGUGCAAGCGUUGUUCGGAUUUACUGGGCGUAAAGGGCACGUAGGCGGCAUAGUAAGUUAAGGGUGAAAUCCCGGGGCUCAACUCCGGAACUGCUCUUAAAACUGCUAAGCUUGAGAUGGUCAGAGGCGGGUAGAAUUCCUGGUGUAGAGGUGAAAUUCGUAGAUAUCAGGAGGAAUACCGGAGGCGAAGGCGGCCCGCUGGGACUAUUCUGACGCUAAGGUGCGAAAGCGUGGGGAGCAAACGGGAUUAGAUACCCCCGUAGUC